GGGGGUAUAGUUCAGUGCUAGAAUUCAUGCUUAGCAUGCAUGAGGUCCUGGGUUCAAUCCCCAGUACCUCCA
This 72-nucleotide transfer RNA is filed under the name Vicugna pacos (alpaca). RNAcentral's name for it is "tRNA-Ala (AGC) (tRNA-Ala-AGC-551-1)". It matches the Rfam family "tRNA". Rfam says of the family: Transfer RNA (tRNA) molecules are approximately 80 nucleotides in length. The record is from Rfam by way of RNAcentral. Lineage: Eukaryota; Metazoa; Chordata; Mammalia; Artiodactyla; Camelidae.